ACCCCUAAACAUCAUACUCAUUCCACUCAACGCCCAACGCAAAACAAAUUCAUUUUCCAAGAUCCUGCAAAAGCUGAGAAAGACAAACAGGAUACCUGAGGCAUCAUUUGCCCUCCAUUUACUGUCAAGGCUUUACCGAUUGCAACAAACUCAUCACAGAUAUAAUCAAUGAAGAAUCAAAAAAGAUAUUCGCCACAUAACACAACUGCAGAACUUUUUUAUCAGAUGGUUCGAUAAAUUGAUAGAUUAGUUUUAAAUUUUAUGAAUAUUAUUAAGUAUUAUGGAUUUAUUUUAAAUUUUAUGAAUAUUGUUAACUAUUAUGGAUUUAUUUU
Molecule: long non-coding RNA, 332 nt
Filed under: Manihot esculenta (cassava)
Lineage: Eukaryota; Viridiplantae; Streptophyta; Magnoliopsida; Malpighiales; Euphorbiaceae
Description: long non-coding RNA (MESC_LNC011453)
Source: RNAcentral